UUAGACGGCCAUAGCAACCAGGAAACACCCGAUCCCAUUCCGAACUCGGAAGUUAAGCUGGUUGCGUCUGUCGUGCUAGUUUCCGAGAGGAAGCGAAGCGCAGAUGCCGUCCCCU
RNAcentral lists this ribosomal RNA (115 nucleotides) under Candidatus Pacearchaeota archaeon. Lineage: Archaea; Nanobdellati. The record is from RNAcentral.